Molecule: long non-coding RNA, 844 nt
Organism: Manacus vitellinus (golden-collared manakin)
Lineage: Eukaryota; Metazoa; Chordata; Aves; Passeriformes; Pipridae
Exons: 3
Source: RefSeq, a predicted model, not a curated record
GGUGCAGGGAUGUGUCCUCGUUCCGAUCUGCGAGUGUGCAGGGAAUAAGGGAAAUGCCAUGAAGUAUGUGGGCCAAAUGAAAGAGAAUACUAAAGGAUUCUGGUAAGGCAAUCUAAAUGAGUAGCCUGAAACCUGGCUUCCAGGAGAUUCUCUGCCUGGGUUCUUCGGUCUACAGUCUGAAAUGAAUGCGUGCCACAGCCUCUGUUUCACUGGAAGCUUUAAUAAAUUCUCCAUCUAGCAACAUCUGUUUAUGAAAUGUAAGACUGUCAGGUCAUUAAGGCAAGUUCCUUGCUCAGCUUGGCUAAAACUGGCCAGAGAUUCACGGAUUGUGACAGGAAGCCCUGGCUUGCAUGACAUGUGUAACAUGUCAGUAUCCAGACCUGGACACUCUCUGCAUAAUGUGUGUAUCCAGACAUACAAAUAUACAGAGCAUGCUUUCUCCUUUAGGGAAGGAGGAAAAUUUUCAGCUCACUGCUUACUACACAACUUGUGGAGGACUACAGUACAGGCAGAGCCCUCAAAUCUCAGGAAGAGAGCAGAACAUAAAGCAGGUGUGUUACAUUAUUUUAAUCCUGUCAACACCAGCUGAAUGAAUUUGUUGAUCCAUGAUAGCAAAGUAACUCUAAGCUACUGUUAGCAGUUGACAUAAGAAAUACAGUUGGCUGCACAGUGAUAAACUUGUCACCAGACAGUUUUUCCAGUGCAGAGCAAAAACUCAUACUUGUCACCAAACAGAUACUAUAGGUUUCUUUUCUACAGUGGAAGAUCUGGAUGAGCUCACAUGAAUUUCUUGCAAUCUGCAAUUAUGUCUGAUUCUCUAUUUUUAAUAAAAAUGACCCUUGUG